UACGAAGGGGGCUAGCGUUGCUCGGAAUCACUGGGCGUAAAGCGCACGUAGGCGGCUUUUUAAGUCAGGGGUGAAAUCCUGGAGCUCAACUCCAGAACUGCCUUUGAUACUGAGAAGCUUGAGUCCGGGAGAGGUGAGUGGAACUGCGAGUGUAGAGGUGAAAUUCGUAGAUAUUCGCAAGAACACCGGUGGCGAAGGCGGCAUCCUGGACCGACACUGACGCUGAGGCGCGAAAGCUAGGGUAGCAAACGGG
This 253-nucleotide ribosomal RNA is filed under the name uncultured bacterium. RNAcentral describes it as "partial 16S ribosomal RNA". It matches the Rfam family "Bacterial small subunit ribosomal RNA", at positions 524 to 776 of the family's 1533-position model. The record is from RNAcentral.